This 775-nucleotide ribosomal RNA is filed under the name uncultured Neocallimastigales. Its description in RNAcentral is "partial large subunit ribosomal RNA". It matches the Rfam family "Eukaryotic large subunit ribosomal RNA", at positions 22 to 637 of the family's 3401-position model. The record is from RNAcentral. Lineage: Eukaryota; Fungi; Neocallimastigomycota; Neocallimastigomycetes; Neocallimastigales.
GUACACGCUGUGACUAGCAUAUCAAUAAGCGGAGGAAAAGAAACUAACAAGGAUUCCCCUAGUAACGGCGAGUGAAGCGGGAAGAGCUCAAAUUUGAAAUCUUAAAGGGUUUCCCUUUACGAAUUGUAGUUUAAAGAAGUGUUUUCUGUUGAGGUUUUGGUAAAAGUUCUUUGGAAUAGGACAUCAUAGAGGGUGAGAAUCCCGUAUUUGACCUUUACUUUCAACUUUGUGAUACACUUUCAAAGAGUCGGAUUGUUUGGGAAUGCAGUCCAAAAUGGGUGGUAAAUUUCAUCUAAAGCUAAAUAUUGGCGAGAGACCGAUAGCGAACAAGUACCGUGAGGGAAAGAUGAAAAGAACUUUGAAAAGAGAGUUAAACAGUACGUGAAAUUGUCAAAAGGGAAGCGCUUGACACCAGUGUUGUUUUUCUGAAAAUCAAUUAAAGAACUGUUUAUGCUAAGUUGUUUAGACUUUAUCAGCUAACUGUUUAGUUUUGAGCUUUUCUUUAAUGCACUUUUCAGUUAACAAGUCAACAUCAAUUUCUUUUGCUGUAAAAAAGCUUGAGGAAGGUGGCUUGAGAUUCGUCUUAAGUGUUUAUAGCCUCUUGCCUAUGCAGUCGGAGAGAUUGAGGUCUGCAGCGUAGAUCCUUCGGGGCUAAAUGCAGUUUGUGCUAAGUUAUAGCAUUUCAUAGACAACUUGUUGACUAUGAUUUGUCUUGUAGCUUACUCGCUUAUGUUAUUUUACCUACGCUUAGGAUGUUGACAGCAGUAUAGACUGU